RNAcentral lists this ribosomal RNA (483 nucleotides) under Diorygopyx incomptus. RNAcentral describes it as "partial 16S ribosomal RNA". It matches the Rfam family "Bacterial large subunit ribosomal RNA", at positions 1843 to 2577 of the family's 2925-position model. The record is from RNAcentral. Lineage: Eukaryota; Metazoa; Arthropoda; Insecta; Coleoptera; Scarabaeidae.
UAAUUUAAAGUCUAACCUGCCCUAUGAGUUAUUUAAAUGGCCGCGGUAUUUUAACCGUGCAAAGGUAGCAUAAUAAUUAGUUUUUUAAUUGAGAACUGGUAUGAAUGGUUGGACGAAAAAAAUUCUGUCUCAAUUUAAUUUAAAUUAGAAUUUUAUUUUUAAGUAAAAAAGCUUAAAUAAAUUUAGAAGACGAGAAGACCCUAUAGAGUUUUAUAUUAAUAAUUUUAUUUAAAAAUAUUAAGUAUUUUAUUUAAUUAAAAUAUAUUAAUAUUUAAUUGGGGUGAUUGAAAAAUUAAAUAAACUUUUUUUAAUUAAAUAACAUUUAUAUAUGAGUUAAUGAUCCAUUAUUAUAUGAUUAUAAGAUUAAAUUACCUUAGGGAUAACAGCGUUAUUUUUUUUGAGAGUUCUUAUCGAAAAAAAAGUUUGCGACCUCGAUGUUGGAUUAAAAUUAACUUAUGGUGUAGAAGCUAUUAAGGUUAGGUC